Molecule: transfer RNA, 62 nt
Filed under: Ornithodoros savignyi
Lineage: Eukaryota; Metazoa; Arthropoda; Arachnida; Ixodida; Argasidae
Description: tRNA-Leu
Source: RNAcentral
UGUCAGCUUGGCAGAUUAAUUGUAUCAAAUUUAGAAUUUGAAGAUGGGUUUCCAGUUGAUAU